RNAcentral lists this ribosomal RNA (498 nucleotides) under uncultured bacterium. RNAcentral describes it as "partial 16S ribosomal RNA". It matches the Rfam family "Bacterial small subunit ribosomal RNA", at positions 28 to 507 of the family's 1533-position model. The record is from RNAcentral.
GACGAACGCUGGCGGCGUGCCUAAUACAUGCAAGUCGAACGAGAGCAACCGGUGCUUGCACUGGUCAAUCUAGUGGCGAACGGGUGAGUAACACGUGGGUAACCUGCCCAUCAGAGGGGGAUAACAUCCGGAAACGGAUGCUAAAACCGCAUAGGUCUUCGAACCGCAUGGUUUGAAGAGGAAAAGAGGCACAAGCUUCUGCUGAUGGAUGGACCCGCGGUGCAUUAGCUAGUUGGUGAGGUAACGGCUCACCAAGGCCGUGAUGCAUAGCCGACCUGAGAGGGUGAUCGGCCACAUUGGGACUGAGACACGGCCCAAACUCCUACGGGAGGCAGCAGUAGGGAAUCUUCCGCAAUGGACGCAAGUCUGACGGAGCAACGCCGCGUGAGUGAAGAAGGUUUUCGGAUCGUAAAACUCUGUUGUUAGAGAAGAACAAGUGCUAGAGUAACUGUUAGCGCCUUGACGGUAUCUAACCAGAAAGCCACGGCUAACUACGUG